CCCGCUGCGCUGAGGGGACCUGGGAUUGGGCUGAGGUCGGGAAGGCGGAGCUGCCAUGGAGCCUGUGUGGGCCUCGGCCGCUGUGCCGCGCCGGACACCCCCGGCCCGGCUGCCCCGUCCUCACGGGGGGAAGCGCCGGGCGGCCUCGGAGAGCUGUGCACAAAGGGUCACCCACACACGGAGCCGCCCCUCUCUGUCUCCCUCCCUAACCCCCUCCUUGGAGGCCCGGAGCUUGGCUACGGCGAUUCUGGGGUGUCUGUCCUCCUUUGCUCCCUCCCAGAUCUUCUCACGAUGAAAACUUGAGUCUCAGAGAAAAGAAGUCAUCUGUUGAGAGAAGCCCCAUUUUCUUACUGUGUGAAACUCCAAGUGUAAGAGACUGACAGUGUAAUGUGUUGUUUCUUGUUUUCUGUGUCAUAUAAAAGGUUGUAUAGUCA
This is a long non-coding RNA of Ochotona princeps (American pika), 434 nucleotides long. RefSeq lists it as uncharacterized. Lineage: Eukaryota; Metazoa; Chordata; Mammalia; Lagomorpha; Ochotonidae. The transcript is spliced from 2 exons. The record is from RefSeq and is a predicted model, not a curated record.